Molecule: ribosomal RNA, 2901 nt
Filed under: Vibrio harveyi CAIM 1792
Lineage: Bacteria; Pseudomonadati; Pseudomonadota; Gammaproteobacteria; Vibrionales; Vibrionaceae
Description: bacterial LSU rRNA
Rfam family: Bacterial large subunit ribosomal RNA
Source: RNAcentral
AUGGUUAAGUGACUAAGCGUACACGGUGGAUGCCUUGGCAGUCAGAGGCGAUGAAGGACGUAUUAACUUGCGAUAAGCCCAGAUUAGGUAGUAAAAACCAUUUGAGUCUGGGAUUUCCGAAUGGGGAAACCCACUAGCAUAAGCUAGUAUCGCUGCGUGAAUACAUAGCGCAGCGAGGCGAACCGGGGGAACUGAAACAUCUAAGUACCCCGAGGAAAAGAAAUCAACCGAGAUUCCGAAAGUAGCGGCGAGCGAAAUUGGACUAGCCCUUAAGCUUUUUAUGCGUCAGGUGAAACUUCUGGAAAGUUGUGCGAUACAGGGUGAUAGCCCCGUAACCGGCAACGCAUUUAAAGUGAAAUCGAGUAGGGCGGGACACGUGAUAUCCUGUCUGAAUAUGGGGGGACCAUCCUCCAAGGCUAAAUACUACUGACUGACCGAUAGUGAACCAGUACCGUGAGGGAAAGGCGAAAAGAACCCCUGUGAGGGGAGUGAAAUAGAACCUGAAACCGUGUACGUACAAGCAGUAGGAGCACCUUCGUGGUGUGACUGCGUACCUUUUGUAUAAUGGGUCAGCGACUUAUAUUCAGUGGCAAGGUUAACCAUCUAGGGGAGCCGUAGGGAAACCGAGUCUUAACUGGGCGUUCAGUCUCUGGAUAUAGACCCGAAACCAGGUGAUCUAGCCAUGGGCAGGUUGAAGGUUGAGUAACAUCAACUGGAGGACCGAACCGACUAAUGUUGAAAAAUUAGCGGAUGACUUGUGGCUAGGGGUGAAAGGCCAAUCAAACCUGGAGAUAGCUGGUUCUCCCCGAAAGCUAUUUAGGUAGCGCCUCGGACGAAUACUACUGGGGGUAGAGCACUGUUAAGGCUAGGGGGUCAUCCCGACUUACCAACCCUUUGCAAACUCCGAAUACCAGUAAGUACUAUCCGGGAGACACACGGCGGGUGCUAACGUCCGUCGUGGAGAGGGAAACAACCCAGACCGCCAGCUAAGGUCCCAAAUUACUACUAAGUGGGAAACGAUGUGGGAAGGCUCAGACAGCCAGGAUGUUGGCUUAGAAGCAGCCAUCAUUUAAAGAAAGCGUAAUAGCUCACUGGUCGAGUCGGCCUGCGCGGAAGAUGUAACGGGGCUAAGUAGUAAACCGAAGCUGCGGCAAUGCACUUUAGUGCAUUGGGUAGGGGAGCGUUCUGUAAGCGGUUGAAGGUGUGUGGUAACGCAUGCUGGACGUAUCAGAAGUGCGAAUGCUGACAUGAGUAACGAUAAAGGGGGUGAAAAACCUCCUCGCCGGAAGACCAAGGGUUCCUGUCCAACGUUAAUCGGGGCAGGGUAAGUCGACCCCUAAGGCGAGGCCGAAAGGCGUAGUCGAUGGGAAACGGGUUAAUAUUCCCGUACUUCUUACAAUUGCGAUGGGGGGACGGAGAAGGCUAGGUGGGCCUGGCGACGGUUGUCCAGGUUCAAGUGCGUAGGCUUAAGAGUUAGGUAAAUCCGGCUCUUUUUAAGGCUGAGACACGACGUCGAGCUACUACGGUAGUGAAGUCAUUGAUGCCAUGCUUCCAGGAAAAGCCUCUAAGCUUCAGAUUGUAAGGAAUCGUACCCCAAACCGACACAGGUGGUCGGGUAGAGAAUACCAAGGCGCUUGAGAGAACUCGGGUGAAGGAACUAGGCAAAAUGGUACCGUAACUUCGGGAGAAGGUACGCUCUCGACGGUGAAGUCCCUCGCGGAUGGAGCUAUUGAGAGUCGCAGAUACCAGGUGGCUGCAACUGUUUAUUAAAAACACAGCACUGUGCAAAAUCGUAAGAUGACGUAUACGGUGUGACGCCUGCCCGGUGCCGGAAGGUUAAUUGAUGGGGUUAGACUUCGGUCGAAGCUCUUGAUCGAAGCCCCGGUAAACGGCGGCCGUAACUAUAACGGUCCUAAGGUAGCGAAAUUCCUUGUCGGGUAAGUUCCGACCUGCACGAAUGGCGUAAUGAUGGCCACGCUGUCUCCACCCGAGACUCAGUGAAAUUGAAAUCGCUGUGAAGAUGCAGUGUACCCGCGGCUAGACGGAAAGACCCCGUGAACCUUUACUACAGCUUGGCACUGAACAUUGACCCUACAUGUGUAGGAUAGGUGGGAGGCUUUGAAGCACAGUCGCUAGAUUGUGUGGAGCCGUCCUUGAAAUACCACCCUUGUAGUGUUGAUGUUCUAACGUUGACCCCUAAUCGGGGUUGCGGACAGUGCCUGGUGGGUAGUUUGACUGGGGCGGUCUCCUCCCAAAGCGUAACGGAGGAGCACGAAGGUGGGCUAAUCACGGUUGGACAUCGUGAGGUUAGUGCAAUGGCAUAAGCCCGCUUGACUGCGAGAAUGACGGUUCGAGCAGGUGCGAAAGCAGGUCAUAGUGAUCCGGUGGUUCUGAAUGGAAGGGCCAUCGCUCAACGGAUAAAAGGUACUCCGGGGAUAACAGGCUGAUACCGCCCAAGAGUUCAUAUCGACGGCGGUGUUUGGCACCUCGAUGUCGGCUCAUCACAUCCUGGGGCUGAAGUCGGUCCCAAGGGUAUGGCUGUUCGCCAUUUAAAGUGGUACGCGAGCUGGGUUUAGAACGUCGUGAGACAGUUCGGUCCCUAUCUGCCGUGGGCGUUGGAAGAUUGAAGGGGGCUGCUCCUAGUACGAGAGGACCGGAGUGGACGAACCUCUGGUGUUCGGGUUGUGUCGCCAGACGCAUUGCCCGGUAGCUAAGUUCGGAAUCGAUAACCGCUGAAAGCAUCUAAGCGGGAAGCGAGCCCUGAGAUGAGUCUUCCCUGAUACUUUAAGUAUCCUAAAGGGUUGUUCGAGACUAGAACGUUGAUAGGCAGGGUGUGUAAGCGUUGUGAGGCGUUGAGCUAACCUGUACUAAUUGCCCGUGAGGCUUAACCAUACAACACCC